RNAcentral lists this long non-coding RNA (1282 nucleotides) under Homo sapiens (human). RNAcentral describes it as "HSALNT0086479". Lineage: Eukaryota; Metazoa; Chordata; Mammalia; Primates; Hominidae. The record is from RNAcentral.
UACAAAAAUGUAAAAAUUAGGCAGGUAUGGUGGUGUGUGCCUGUAGUCCCAGCUACUCAGGAGGCUGAGGUGGGAGGAUCUCUUGAGCCUAAGAGGCCAAGGCUGCAGUGAGCCGUGAUUGCACCACUGCACUCCAGCCUGGGUGACAGAGCAAGGCUGUCUCUAAAAACGAAACAAAACAAAACAAGAAUGGAUUCUAGAGUCAGAAUGCCCAGUUUAAAUACCAUUUACUAGCUUUGCAACUUUGGGCAAACUCCCUAACAUCUCUUUGAUUCAUACUCAUCUAUAAAAUGUACCAAUAACAGUAACUCCUUCACAGGGCUUGGGGGGAUUAAAUCAGCUAAGACGUUUAAGGUACUUAGAACAGAGCCUGGCACAUAGUAUGUGCUCAAUAAGUAUUAGACGAUACGAAAGUUUUAUUUACUCUAUUUCAUAAAAAUUUUCUCAUUAACUUUGUUAUAGCUAACUCUCUACAAUUUUGCCAAUCUUGUUAUAACUAACCUAUUUUUAUUUUAAAAACUUUUAAAAUUUCCUUAAGUCGGGAAAAAGCAAUCUUCUAUCAUGCAUAGGUUGUAAAUACAAACAGAUAUUAUAGCAGAAUCAUUAUUAAAGCACAUCAGAAACACAACCUUCUUUUUUAUUUUAUUUUAUUUUUUUUUGAGACAGGGUCUCUAUUGCCCAGACUGGAGUGCAGUGAUGGAAUCUCAGCCCACCACAACCUCUGCCUCCGGGUUCAGCUAUUCUCCUGCCUCAGCCUCCCGAGUAGCUGGGAUUACAGUCGCGUGCCACUACCGCGCAGCUAAUUUUUGUAUUUUUAGUAGAGACGGGGUUUCACCAUGUUGGUCAGGCUGGUCGUGAACGCUUCUCAUGCAAAGCUCCUCACCCAGGUUUGCCUUAAGCAGGAGGUCCCAGUGUUUCAGCCCAGUAAGUACCUGUGAUGUCAAAAUGCUGUGAUACUUACAUAUGGAAGCAGAAAUCCCAGUCGAUGUCAUUGCUAACAGUUGGGAUACGGAUGGGGCUGGCUUGCAUCUUCUUCCUACCAAGAAUCAGGUCUGACGGCGUGUUGGAUUUAAGCAAAGCAACCAACUCUCAGUGGUAAACGAAGCACAGCCAGUGUAUUGGUUAAUUCUGCUUUCCCCCCCCCCCCCGGGGUCAUUUCACUAAUUAAUAGCAGAUUCUAGUACAGGGGUCACGAGGCGGGUACAGAGGCUCACGCCUGUAAUCCCAGCACUGUGGGAAGCCGAGGCGGGUGGAUCACCCGAGUUCAGGAGUUCGAGACCAG